This 66-nucleotide transfer RNA is filed under the name Coleoptera sp. ACP-2013. RNAcentral's name for it is "tRNA-Ser". Lineage: Eukaryota; Metazoa; Arthropoda; Insecta; Coleoptera. The record is from RNAcentral.
UAACUAAUGAACUUGUAAAGUAUAUAUUUUGAAAAUAUAAUAAAGUUAAUAAAUUAACUAUUAGUU